This 77-nucleotide transfer RNA is filed under the name Verrucomicrobiota bacterium. RNAcentral's name for it is "Verrucomicrobia bacterium (hydrothermal vent metagenome) tRNA-Arg". It matches the Rfam family "tRNA". Rfam says of the family: Transfer RNA (tRNA) molecules are approximately 80 nucleotides in length. Their secondary structure includes four short double-helical elements and three loops (D, anti-codon, and T loops). Lineage: Bacteria; Pseudomonadati; Verrucomicrobiota. RNAcentral also lists the same sequence under 1 other name. The record is from RNAcentral.
GCAUCCGUAGCUCAAUUGGAUAGAGUCCCUGAUUACGGAUCAGGAUGUUGGGGGUUCGAAUCCCUCCGGAUGUACCA